This 250-nucleotide ribosomal RNA is filed under the name uncultured bacterium. RNAcentral describes it as "partial 16S ribosomal RNA". It matches the Rfam family "Bacterial small subunit ribosomal RNA", at positions 43 to 278 of the family's 1533-position model. The record is from RNAcentral.
GAUCCUGGCUCAGGCUUAACACAUGCAAGUCGAACGGUAACAGGAGAAAGCUUGCUUUCUUGCUGACGAGUGGCGGACGGGUGAGUAAUGCUUGGGAAUCUGGCUUAUGGAGGGGGGAUAACGACGGGAAACUGUCGCUAAUACCGCGUAGAGUCGAGAGACGAAAGUGCGGGACCGCAAGGCCGCAUGCCAUAGGAUGAGCCCAAGUGGGAUUAGGUAGUUGGUGGGGUAAUGGCCUACCAAGCCGACG